UAUCCUGUGAUGCAGUGGGUUAGUAUGUCUGGCUGCUAACCAGAAGAUUGGUGGCUCGAGCCCACCCAGGGAUAG
Molecule: non-coding RNA, 75 nt
Organism: Podarcis lilfordi (Lilford's wall lizard)
Lineage: Eukaryota; Metazoa; Chordata; Lepidosauria; Squamata; Lacertidae
Source: the annotation of a GenBank genome assembly